This 427-nucleotide ribosomal RNA is filed under the name uncultured Burkholderiales bacterium. RNAcentral's name for it is "partial 16S ribosomal RNA". It matches the Rfam family "Bacterial small subunit ribosomal RNA", at positions 355 to 774 of the family's 1533-position model. Lineage: Bacteria; Pseudomonadati; Pseudomonadota; Betaproteobacteria; Burkholderiales. The record is from RNAcentral.
UGGGGAAUUUUGGACAAUGGACGAAAGUCUGAUCCAGCCAUGCCGCGUGCGGGAAGAAGGCCUUCGGGUUGUAAACCGCUUUUGUCAGGGAAGAAAUCCUUUGAGCUAAUACCUCGGGGGGAUGACGGUACCUGAAGAAUAAGCACCGGCUAACUACGUGCCAGCAGCCGCGGUAAUACGUAGGGUGCAAGCGUUAAUCGGAAUUACUGGGCGUAAAGCGUGCGCAGGCGGUUAUGUAAGACAGAGGUGAAAUCCCCGGGCUCAACCUGGGAACUGCCUUUGUGACUGCAUAGCUUGAGUGCGGCAGAGGGGGAUGGAAUUCCGCGUGUAGCAGUGAAAUGCGUAGAUAUGCGGAGGAACACCGAUGGCGAAGGCAAUCCCCUGGGCCUGCACUGACGCUCAUGCACGAAAGCGUGGGGAGCAAACA